AUGCAAGUCGAGGGGCAGCAUGUCCAGCAAUGGAUGAUGGCGACCGGCGGAAGGGUGCGUAACGCGUGAGCAACAUGCCCUAUACAGGGAGAUACACCAGGGAAACUUGGUCUAAUAUCCCAUAGCAUUCAUUGAAGGCAUCUUUAAUGAAUUAAAGCUUCGGUGGUAUAGGAUUGGCUCGCGUGACAUUAGCCAGAUGGUGAGGUAACGGCUCACCAUAGCAAUGAUGUCUAGGGGUUUUGAGAGGAAGGCCCCCCACACUGGGACUGAGACACGGCCCAGACUCCUACGGGAGGCAGCAGUGAGGAAUAUUGGACAAUGGAUGGAAAUCUGAUCCAGCCAUGCCGCGUGCGGGAAGACGGCCUUAUGGGUUGUAAACUGCUUUUAUACGGGAGCAAUAAGGGUUACGAGUAAUCCGAUGAGAGUACUGUAUGAAUAAGGAUCGGCUAACUCCGUGCCAGCAGCCGCGGUAGUACGGAGGAUCCGAGCGUUAUCCGGAAUUAUUGGGUUUAAAGGGUGCGUAGGCGGCCAUUUAAGUCAGCGGUGAAAUUUUGCAGCUUAACUGUAACAGUGCCGUUGAUACUGUUUGGCUAGGAUUUGGUUGUAGUGUGCGGAAUGUGUGGUGUAGCGGUGAAAUGCUUAGAUAUCACACAGAACACCGAUUGCGAAGGCAGCACACUAAGUCAUUAUUGACGCUGAGGCACGAAAGUGUGGGGAUCAAACAGGAUUAGAUACCCUGGUAGUCCUCACUGUAAACGAUGAUAACUCGCUGUCGGCGAUACACAGUCGGUGGCCAAGCGAAAGCAUUAAGUUAUCCACCUGGGGAGUACGACCGCAAGGCUGAAACUCAAAGGAAUUGACGGGGGCCCGCACAAGCGGUGGAGCAUGUGGUUUAAUUCGAUGCAACGCGAAGAACCUUACCAGGUCUUGACAUCCAAAGAAUCCUGAUGAAAGUCGGGAGUGCCUUAGGGAGCUUUGAGACAGGUGGUGCAUGGUUGUCGUCAGCUCGUGUCGUGAGAUGUUGGGUUAAGUCCCGCAACGAGCGCAACCCUUGCUAUUAGUUGCUAACAUUCAGUUGAGCACUCUAAUGGGACUGCCCGUGACAAGCGGGAGGAAGGUGGGGAUGACGUCAAAUCAUCAUGCCCUUUAUGAUCUGGGCUACACACGUGCUACAAUGGAUGGUACAGAGAGCAGCGAGACAGUGAUGUGGAGCGAAUCUCAAAAAGCCAUUCUCAGUUCGGAUUGCAGGCUGCAACUCGCCUGCAUGAAGUCGGAAUCGCUAGUAAUCGCGGAUCAGCAUGUCGCGGUGAAUGCGUUCCCGGGCCUUGCACUCAGCGCCCGUCAAG
This 1346-nucleotide ribosomal RNA is filed under the name uncultured bacterium. Its description in RNAcentral is "partial 16S ribosomal RNA". It matches the Rfam family "Bacterial small subunit ribosomal RNA", at positions 55 to 1401 of the family's 1533-position model. The record is from RNAcentral.